This 172-nucleotide ribosomal RNA is filed under the name Artemia persimilis. RNAcentral describes it as "partial 5.8S ribosomal RNA". Lineage: Eukaryota; Metazoa; Arthropoda; Branchiopoda; Anostraca; Artemiidae. The record is from RNAcentral.
UGUGAUUCCAGGAUCAUGGCUUCCCCAUCCGCGAGACUAGAGGGAGUGAAGGUGAGCUUGCCCCAAUAUGGCAUGGCUUGAGGUGUGCAAGGGUGCAAUUGCAUGGGCCUUGCUUGAGGGAAAAAUGUUGAACCAUUCACUUGAAUGACCCUGGAGGAUGGAUCACUUGGCU